Molecule: ribosomal RNA, 2903 nt
Filed under: Escherichia coli DEC1B
Lineage: Bacteria; Pseudomonadati; Pseudomonadota; Gammaproteobacteria; Enterobacterales; Enterobacteriaceae
Description: bacterial LSU rRNA
Rfam family: Bacterial large subunit ribosomal RNA
Source: RNAcentral
UUAAGCGACUAAGCGUACACGGUGGAUGCCCUGGCAGUCAGAGGCGAUGAAGGACGUGCUAAUCUGCGAUAAGCGUCGGUGAGGUGAUAUGAACCGUUAUAACCGGCGAUUUCCGAAUGGGGAAACCCAGUGUGUUUCGACACACUAUCAUUAACUGAAUCCAUAGGUUAAUGAGGCGAACCGGGGGAACUGAAACAUCUAAGUACCCCGAGGAAAAGAAAUCAACCGAGAUUCCCCCAGUAGCGGCGAGCGAACGGGGAGGAGCCCAGAGCCUGAAUCAGUGUGUGUGUUAGUGGAAGCGUCUGGAAAGGCGCGCGAUACAGGGUGACAGCCCCGUACACAAAAAUGCACAUAUUGUGAGCUCGAUGAGUAGGGCGGGACACGUGGUAUCCUGUCUGAAUAUGGGGGGACCAUCCUCCAAGGCUAAAUACUCCUGACUGACCGAUAGUGAACCAGUACCGUGAGGGAAAGGCGAAAAGAACCCCGGCGAGGGGAGUGAAAAAGAACCUGAAACCGUGUACGUACAAGCAGUGGGAGCCUCUUAAUGGGGUGACUGCGUACCUUUUGUAUAAUGGGUCAGCGACUUAUAUUCUGUAGCAAGGUUAACCGAAUAGGGGAGCCGAAGGGAAACCGAGUCUUAACUGGGCGUUAAGUUGCAGGGUAUAGACCCGAAACCCGGUGAUCUAGCCAUGGGCAGGUUGAAGGUUGGGUAACACUAACUAGAGGACCGAACCGACUAAUGUUGAAAAAUUAGCGGAUGACUUGUGGCUGGGGGGUGAAAGGCCAAUCAAACCGGGAGAUAGCUGGUUCUCCCCGAAAGCUAUUUAGGUAGCGCCUCGUGAAUUCAUCUCCGGGGGUAGAGCACUGUUUCGGCAAGGGGGUCAUCCCGACUUACCAACCCGAUGCAAACUGCGAAUACCGGAGAAUGUUAUCACGGGAGACACACGGCGGGUGCUAACGUCCGUCGUGAAGAGGGAAACAACCCAGACCGCCAGCUAAGGUCCCAAAGUCAUGGUUAAGUGGGAAACGAUGUGGGAAGGCCCAGACAGCCAGGAUGUUGGCUUAGAAGCAGCCAUCAUUUAAAGAAAGCGUAAUAGCUCACUGGUCGAGUCGGCCUGCGCGGAAGAUGUAACGGGGCUAAACCAUGCACCGAAGCUGCGGCAGCGACACUAUGUGUUGUUGGGUAGGGGAGCGUUCUGUAAGCCUGUGAAGGUGGCCUGUGAGGGUUGCUGGAGGUAUCAGAAGUGCGAAUGCUGACAUAAGUAACGAUAAAGCGGGUGAAAAGCCCGCUCGCCGGAAGACCAAGGGUUCCUGUCCAACGUUAAUCGGGGCAGGGUGAGUCGACCCCUAAGGCGAGGCCGAAAGGCGUAGUCGAUGGGAAACAGGUUAAUAUUCCUGUACUUGGUGUUACUGCGAAGGGGGGACGGAGAAGGCUAUGUUGGCCGGGCGACGGUUGUCCCGGUUUAAGCGUGUAGGCUGGUUUUCCAGGCAAAUCCGGAAAAUCAAGGCUGAGGCGUGAUGACGAGGCACUACGGUGCUGAAGCGACAAAUGCCCUGCUUCCAGGAAAAGCCUCUAAGCAUCAGGUAACAUCAAAUCGUACCCCAAACCGACACAGGUGGUCAGGUAGAGAAUACCAAGGCGCUUGAGAGAACUCGGGUGAAGGAACUAGGCAAAAUGGUGCCGUAACUUCGGGAGAAGGCACGCUGAUAUGUAGGUGAAGCGACUUGCUCGUGGAGCUGAAAUCAGUCGAAGAUACCAGCUGGCUGCAACUGUUUAUUAAAAACACAGCACUGUGCAAACACGAAAGUGGACGUAUACGGUGUGACGCCUGCCCGGUGCCGGAAGGUUAAUUGAUGGGGUUAGCGGUAACGCGAAGCUCUUGAUCGAAGCCCCGGUAAACGGCGGCCGUAACUAUAACGGUCCUAAGGUAGCGAAAUUCCUUGUCGGGUAAGUUCCGACCUGCACGAAUGGCGUAAUGAUGGCCAGGCUGUCUCCACCCGAGACUCAGUGAAAUUGAACUCGCUGUGAAGAUGCAGUGUACCCGCGGCAAGACGGAAAGACCCCGUGAACCUUUACUAUAGCUUGACACUGAACAUUGAGCCUUGAUGUGUAGGAUAGGUGGGAGGCUUUGAAGUGUGGACGCCAGUCUGCAUGGAGCCGACCUUGAAAUACCACCCUUUAAUGUUUGAUGUUCUAACGUUGGCCCGUAAUCCGGGUUGCGGACAGUGUCUGGUGGGUAGUUUGACUGGGGCGGUCUCCUCCUAAAGAGUAACGGAGGAGCACGAAGGUUGGCUAAUCCUGGUCGGACAUCAGGAGGUUAGUGCAAUGGCAUAAGCCAGCUUGACUGCGAGCGUGACGGCGCGAGCAGGUGCGAAAGCAGGUCAUAGUGAUCCGGUGGUUCUGAAUGGAAGGGCCAUCGCUCAACGGAUAAAAGGUACUCCGGGGAUAACAGGCUGAUACCGCCCAAGAGUUCAUAUCGACGGCGGUGUUUGGCACCUCGAUGUCGGCUCAUCACAUCCUGGGGCUGAAGUAGGUCCCAAGGGUAUGGCUGUUCGCCAUUUAAAGUGGUACGCGAGCUGGGUUUAGAACGUCGUGAGACAGUUCGGUCCCUAUCUGCCGUGGGCGCUGGAGAACUGAGGGGGGCUGCUCCUAGUACGAGAGGACCGGAGUGGACGCAUCACUGGUGUUCGGGUUGUCAUGCCAAUGGCACUGCCCGGUAGCUAAAUGCGGAAGAGAUAAGUGCUGAAAGCAUCUAAGCACGAAACUUGCCCCGAGAUGAGUUCUCCCUGACCCUUUAAGGGUCCUGAAGGAACGUUGAAGACGACGACGUUGAUAGGCCGGGUGUGUAAGCGCAGCGAUGCGUUGAGCUAACCGGUACUAAUGAACCGUGAGGCUUAACCUU